UACGGAGGGGGCUAGCGUUGUUCGGAAUUACUGGGCGUAAAGGGCUCGUAGGCGGCCAACUAAGUCAGACGUGAAAUCCCUCAGCUUAACUGGGGAACUGCGUCUGAUACUGGAUGGCUUGGAUUCGGGAGAGGAAUGCGGAAUUCCGGGUGUAGCGGUGAAAUGCGUAGAUAUCUGGAGGAACGCCGGCGGCGAAAGCGACUCUCUGGUCUGUAACUGACGCUGAGGUGCGAAAGCAUGGGGAGCGAACAGG
This 253-nucleotide ribosomal RNA is filed under the name uncultured bacterium. RNAcentral describes it as "partial 16S ribosomal RNA". It matches the Rfam family "Bacterial small subunit ribosomal RNA", at positions 524 to 776 of the family's 1533-position model. The record is from RNAcentral.